Molecule: ribosomal RNA, 467 nt
Filed under: uncultured bacterium
Lineage: Bacteria
Description: partial 16S ribosomal RNA
Rfam family: Bacterial small subunit ribosomal RNA
Source: RNAcentral
GACGAACGCUGGCGGCGUGCUUAACACAUGCAAGUCGAACGGAAAGGCCUCAGCUUGCUGGGGUACUCGAGUGGCGAACGGGUGAGUAACACGUGGGUGAUCUGCCUUGCACUCUGGGAUAAGCUUGGGAAACUGGGUCUAAUACCGGAUAUGAACUGCCUUUAGUGUGGUGGUUGGAAAGUUUUUUCGGUGCAAGAUGAGCUCGCGGCCUAUCAGCUUGUUGGUGGGGUAAUGGCCUACCAAGGCGUCGACGGGUAGCCGGCCUGAGGGGGUGUACGGCCACAUUGGGACUGAGAUACGGCCCAGACUCCUACGGGAGGCAGCAGUGGGGAAUAUUGCACAAUGGGCGGAAGCCUGAUGCAGCGACGCCGCGUGGGGGAUGACGGCCUUCGGGUUGGAAACUCCUUUCGACAGGGACGAAGCUUUUUGUGACGGUACCUGUAUAAGAAGCACCGGCUAACUACGUG